This is a long non-coding RNA of Oncorhynchus tshawytscha (Chinook salmon), 484 nucleotides long. Lineage: Eukaryota; Metazoa; Chordata; Actinopteri; Salmoniformes; Salmonidae. The record is from Ensembl.
CACUGAGCUUGUCUGAUGCUUUAAGCGCACCAUUUGAUGAAAUAAUUAAGACAAACAAAUGACUGAAGAGGGAGCCCGAUGGCCACACUGUGUUAAAAAGAAAUGAAAGCAAGUGCUUGUGUGACAGGCGCACGUUGUCUCUCUCUCCUCCCUACUGCAGCGAACAGGCCCCACACCACAGUAAGUGUUUAUCUCUGUUGUCUCUCUUCCCUACUGCAGUGAACAGGCCCCACACCACAGUAAGUGUUUAUCUCUGUUGUCUCUCCUCCCUACUGCAGUGAACAGGCCCCACACCACAGUGUUUAUCUCUGUUGUCUCUCUCCCUCCCUACUACAGUGAACAGGCCCCACACCACAGUGUUUAUCUCUGUUGUCUCUCUCUCCUCCCUACUACAGUGAACAGGCCCCACACCACAGUGUUGUCUCUCUCUCCUCCCUACUGCAGUGAACAGGCGCCACACCACAGUGUUUAUCUCUGUCUCCUC